Molecule: long non-coding RNA, 312 nt
Organism: Panthera uncia (snow leopard)
Lineage: Eukaryota; Metazoa; Chordata; Mammalia; Carnivora; Felidae
Exons: 2
Source: RefSeq, a predicted model, not a curated record
CUGGGGAAAGCCAGGAUGGAAAGAAAGUUGCCACCACCCAGGUACCCAGAGUUCUGGGGCUAAAGCUUGCCUGAAUUUGGAAUCCAAGAAGAAUUUGGUCUGACUCCACCUAUACAAGAUCUAAAAGAGAAGAAACCUUCACUUCAUCUUGAGAUGAAUCUUCUGGCUCUGCAUCCUGUCUUCUUCUGUCAAGAUACCAGCAAUAUGCCUGAUAGGAGCUGUCCUCCAGUCUGGGUCUCUGGGUGAAAAGCCAAAGCCAGAUCAAUAACAGAAAUACAAGAUAAGCCCCAAUAAAAAGGCAACCGUCACUGA